RNAcentral lists this ribosomal RNA (433 nucleotides) under uncultured bacterium. RNAcentral's name for it is "partial 16S ribosomal RNA". It matches the Rfam family "Bacterial small subunit ribosomal RNA", at positions 29 to 507 of the family's 1533-position model. The record is from RNAcentral.
AACGAACGCUGGCGGCAUGCCUAACACAUGCAAGUCGAACGAGACCUUCGGGUCUAGUGGCGCACGUGUGCGUAACGCGGGGGAACCUGCCCUUAGGUUCGGAAUACCUCCCCGAAAGGGGUGCUAAUACCGGAUAAUGUCUUCGGACCAAAGAUUUAUCGCCAUUGGAUGGGCCCGCGUAGGAUUAGCUGGUUGGUAGGGUAAAAGCCUACCAAGGCGAGGAUCCAUAGCUGGUCUGAGAGGAAGAUCAGCCACACUUGAACUGAGACACGGCCCAGACUCCUACGCAAGGCAGCAGUGGGGAACACUAUGCAAGGGGGGAAAACCUGAUACAGCAAUGCCGCGUGAGUGAUGAAGGCCGUAGGGUUGUAAUGCUCUUUUACCCGGGAUGAUAAUGACAGUACCGGGAGAAUAAGCUCCGGCUAACUACGUG